Molecule: non-coding RNA, 28 nt
Filed under: Mus musculus (house mouse)
Lineage: Eukaryota; Metazoa; Chordata; Mammalia; Rodentia; Muridae
Source: RNAcentral
ACAAAGGUGCUUUGCUGAAACAAGCUAC